Molecule: long non-coding RNA, 2037 nt
Organism: Panthera uncia (snow leopard)
Lineage: Eukaryota; Metazoa; Chordata; Mammalia; Carnivora; Felidae
Exons: 3
Source: RefSeq, a predicted model, not a curated record
UUGGACUGCGCUGUGCCAGGACCCCUUUUCCCACUGAACCAGAGGGAAAGCAGAAGUGUCAGUAGGCAGCUUAGUAGGUGGGAAUAUGAGGGCGUCUGAGAUCGGAGCCUGAUGGCUCAGCUCGAUCACAGCACCGGCUUCAUUUUCUCCCUACUGUCUCCCUGGACAGUUUCCUCCACUAUUUAACCCGUUAGUCAUGACGCAGAUAGUCAUGAAAAUAAUAUUGUGUAUUUUUUUGAGCCAGUGUAAAGGAGAAGCAUCAUCCUUUCCCCCUCCCCCACUGAGGCUAGCAGAGUAGUGGUGAAAGAAAAAUAAAUUUCUGGGGAACGGAGCUGAGCUGCGUGGUCUGUCCGUCCCUUCCUGUCUGAGCAAUCUUUCUGGACUCCUAGACUAAUUUUAAAAAUUGCCUGCAGAUUCUUCUGGGCUUUUGCACAAACACAUUGUAUGAUGGAAUGUUCUGAAUAUACUGGAAGUCCUAGCCACAGUGAUCAGACAACAAAAAGAAAUAAAAGGCAUCCAAAUCAGCAAAGAAAAAGUAAAGCUUUCACUAUUAUCAGUUGACAUGGUACUCUACAAAGAACAUCCAAAAGACUCCUCCAAAAAAUGGCUAGAACUGAUAACCAAAUUAAGUAAAGUUGCAGUAUACAAAAUCGAUGUACCCAAAUCUGUUGCAUUUCUGUAUACCAAUAAUGAAACAACAGAAAGAGAAAUUAAGGAGUCAAUCCCAUUUACAAUUGCACCAAAAACAAUGAGAUACCUAGCAAUAAACCUACACUAAGAAGUAAAAGACUUGUACUCUGAAAACUAUAAAACACUGAUGAAAGAAAAUGAAGAUGACACAAAGAAAUGCAAAAACCUUCCAUGCUCAUAGGUUGGAAGAACAAAUAUUGUUAAAAUGUCAAUGCUUCUCAAAGCAGUCUACACAUUUACUGCAACUCCUACCAAGAGUAUUUUUCACUGAGCUAGAACAAACAAUCCUAAAAUUUGUAUGGAAUCGCAAAAGACCCUGAAUACCCCAGCAAUCUUGAAAAAGAAAAAUAAAGCUGGAGGCAUCACAAUUCUAGACUUCAAAUUAUAUGACAACGCUGUAGUGAUAAAAACAGUAUGGUACACACACAAAAAAUAGACACCUAAAUCAACGAAACAGAAUAGAAUACCCAGAAAUGAAUCCACAGCUAUAUGGUCAAGUAAUCUUUGACAAAGUAGGAAAGAAUAUCCAAUGGGAAAAAGGCAGUCUCUUGAACAAAUGGUGUUGGGAAAAUUGGACAGUCACAUGUAAAUGAAUAAAACUGGACUACGUUCUUAUACCAAACCCAACAAUAAAUAUCAAAAUGGAUUAAAGACCUAAAUGUGAGACUUGAAACCAUAAAAAUCCUAGAGAACACAAACAAUAACGUUUCUGACAUCAGCUGUAGCAACUUCUUUCUAGAUAUGUCUCCUGAGGCAAGGGAAACAAAGGCAAAAAUAAACUAUCGGUACUUCGUCAGAAUAAAAACUUCUGCACAGUAAAGAAAACCAUCAACAAAACUAGGUUUGGAAUGGAAGAAAAUAUUUGCAAAUGAUGUAUCUGAUAAAGGGUUAGUAUUCAACAUAUUUAAACAACUUAUAAAAUUCAAUACCCAAAAAACAAAGAACCCGUUUAAAUAAUGGGCAGAAGAUAUGAAUAGAUAUUUUUCCAAAGAAGAUACCCAGAUGGCCAACAGACAUAUGAAGAAAUGCUCAACGUUCCUCAUCAUCAGGGAAAUAUGAAUCAAAACUACAAUGAGAUGUCACCUCAUACCUGUUGAAAUGGCUAAAAACAACCACAGGAUAAACAAAAGUGUUUGUGAGGAUGCGGAGAAAGUGGAACCCUCUUGCACUGUUGCUGGGAAGGCAAACUGGUGCAGGCACUCUGGAAAACAGUAUGGAGGUUCUUCAAAAAGGUAAAAAUAGAGCUCCCUUAUGAUCUAGCAAUUGCACUGCAUAAUGGCCAAAUUAUUGAAAUAGCCCAAAUGUCCAUCAGCUGACGAAUGUAUAUAGAAGACGUGGUGUGUGUGU